RNAcentral lists this ribosomal RNA (292 nucleotides) under uncultured bacterium. Its description in RNAcentral is "partial 16S ribosomal RNA". The record is from RNAcentral.
GGACUACCGGGGUAUCUAAUCCUGUUUGCUCCCCACGCUUUCGCGCCUGAGCGUCAGCAGUCGGCCAGGGCACUGCCUUCGCCAUUGGUGUUCUUCCGGAUCUCUACGCAUUUCACCGCUCCACCCGGAGUUCCAUGCCCCUCUCCGACGCUCAAGCUCACCCGUUUUCCAGAACCUCUCCCGGUUAAGCCGAGAGCUUUCACCUGGAACGCGGCAAGCCGCCUGCGCGCCCUUUACGCCCAGUAACUCCGGACAACGCUUGCCUCCUACGUAUUACCGCGGCUGCUGGCAC